GUUGGACUGGUGCCUGUGUGUCUGCCUGCCUUUCUUCCUUCCUCCAAAACAUUCGCUUCCCCUGAAGGUCACUACUUGUAUGGGGCUUCACUCUGCCUCGUGAGAAUGUCUCAGAGCACAAUGGGCCGCAAACAGUGUCCUCCCAGGAGAAAGAGUGAAAUCAGAGAGCUGGGUGGGAAAGGCUUGCCUUGCUUUGUCAUCGGUUAUAUAACCGUAAAAGGGAGUCAAGGGUAUCUGCAGCUUAGGAAGAAAAAAAAAAGCCCAAGGGAUUUUGUUCUUUUUCCUGUUUACAUUUGUGCAUUUGCGUUGUGUGCCAGAACACAAACUGCUCCCGUUUAAAAAUAACCAAUUUCGUCCCCCGCCAGUCAGAAAAUCAGAUUUAAGUUCCAGUCCCUGAAUUUGCCUAGUUUAGGAACGUUAAGGAGUUAGUUAACCUAUUUGGACUUUUUUUUUUAGAUUGUGGCAAAAUACGUAUGCAUAAAAUUUACCAUCUUAGCCAUUUUUAAGUGUACAAUUCAGUCGUGUUAAGUAUGUUGGAGGGAAGGAGAAAUAAUUUUUCCUCUACUCUUCAGAGUUCUCAGCUGAGACCCCUGUAAUAAAAGAUCAACAAGAGAAAAAAAAGCCCAAAAGUUUAUGGACGUGUCACCUUCAUGUGUGCCUGAGAGAGACCCAGGGGAGAAUGAGGAGAAAUAACCUUCACGGAAGCUCCAUAGAAACAGGGGCUGUCACCAGUCCCCCACGACCUAACUGGUGAGUCAUUUCACGAAUUUCAGUGUCGUCAUCUCGAAAGUGAAGGCUUUGCAAAGAGUCAGGUCACUCCAGAUCUCAGAGGAGAUGUUUUCUGAUUUAAAACACGAGGUCAAGUCAAAUGAGACAGAAGACUUCCUGGGGAAAGAAUUCAUUCAUUGUUACAGCAGACAAAGGACUGCACCUCCAGGAUACAACAGGAUCUCUGCUUUCAACAAAAUACACCUUUUAUUUUUAUUGAUAAAAUACAGAUACAGUGUAUAAAUAUAAAAAUAAACGAUACGUGCACCAAAGCCA
Molecule: long non-coding RNA, 1044 nt
Filed under: Equus asinus (donkey)
Lineage: Eukaryota; Metazoa; Chordata; Mammalia; Perissodactyla; Equidae
Description: lncRNA (ENSEASG00005034021.1)
Source: RNAcentral